UGUUGAAUUCUUGACAAAUCCACAAAAAUUUACUGUGCUUGGAGGUAAACUUCCAAAAGGAAUACUUUUAGUUGGACCACCAGGGACAGGAAAGACGCUUCUUGCUCGAGCUGUGGCUGGAGAAGCUGAUGUUCCUUUUUAUUAUGCUUCUGGAUCAGAAUUUGAUGAAAUGUUUGUGAGUUUGGGAGCCAGCCGUAUCAGAAAUCUAUUUAGGGAAGCAAAAGCAAAUGCUCCCUGUGUUAUAUUUAUUGAUGAAUUAGAUUCUGUUGGUGGGAAGCGAAUUGAGUCUCCAAUGCAUCCAUAUUCAAGGCAGACUAUAAAUCAGCUUCUUGCUGAAAUGGAUGG
Molecule: long non-coding RNA, 345 nt
Organism: Enhydra lutris kenyoni (northern sea otter)
Lineage: Eukaryota; Metazoa; Chordata; Mammalia; Carnivora; Mustelidae
Exons: 3
Source: RefSeq, a predicted model, not a curated record